Molecule: ribosomal RNA, 648 nt
Filed under: uncultured Chroococcales cyanobacterium
Lineage: Bacteria; Bacillati; Cyanobacteriota; Cyanophyceae; Chroococcales
Description: bacterial SSU rRNA
Rfam family: Bacterial small subunit ribosomal RNA
Source: RNAcentral
CGGACGGGUGAGUAACGCGUGAGAAUCUACCUUCGGGAUGGGGAUAACAGUUGGAAACACUGCUAAUACCCAAUGUGCCGAGAGGUGAAAGAGUUUCGCCUGAAGAGGAGCUCGCGUCUGAUUAGCUAGUUGGUGAGGUAAAGGCUCACCAAGGCACGAUCAGUAGCUGGUCUGAGAGGAUGAGCAGCCACACUGGGACUGAGACACGGCCCAGCUCCUACGGGAGGCAGCAGUGGGGAAUUUUCCGCAAUGGGCGAAAGCCUGACGGAGCAAACCGCGUGAGGGAGGAAGGCCUUUGGGUUGUAAACCUCUUUUCUCAGGGAAGAUAUGACGGUACCUGAGGAAUCAGCAUCGGCUAACUCCGUCCAGCAGCCGCGGUAAGACGGAGGAUGCAAGCGUUAUCCGGAAUCAUUGGGCGUAAAGAUCCGUAGGUGGUGAGUCAAGUCUGCUGUCAAAGACGGAAGCUUAACUUCUGGAAGGCGGGGAAACUGAAGCACUAGAGUUCGGGAGGGGUAGAGGGAAUUCCCAGUGUAGCGGUGAAAGCGUAGAGAUUGGGAAGAACACCAGUGGCGAAAGCGCUCUGCUGGACCGAAACUGACAUGAGGGACGAAAGCUAGGGGAGCGAAAGGGAUUAGAUACCCCUGUAGU